GACACCCAGGCAGCACAGCAGGAGGGGAGCCCUUUGGCCUGCUGCCCUCCUGCCCACCCCCAAGCCCACCCCAAAUCAUGCAUGCGCCCAGAAACCCUGACCUGCACCACAAAGGCAGCAGCAGCAGCACCAGCAGCAAGGAACACCAGGCCUGUGGGCGCAGCUGGCCUACAGCAGGGGACGGCCCUUUGGCCACUUCCCGGAUGCUCUCCUGCUCUCCACCCUCCCAACCUCUUGCACACCCCCAGCCUCAGCGCUGCAGGAAAAAGAGACAACCUCACGGCUCCGGGAGGCCCGCACUCGCAGCAACAGCCACACCACAGCUGCAGUAAGCAACACCGCUUUAGCCACCCCUGCCAAACACGGUGCUAGGCCAGCUGCCACUAACAAGAGUCAACUCCGUCCCAGCCAGAGCAAGUCCGCAGAGGCAGUGGCACCUAGCCCACCCUGGGCAGAAGGCAAGAUGCAGGAUGCCGAAAAACCAAGAGAAUCAAGCCCUGUUCACUUGUCCUCACCACUAGCAGGACCCUGGCUGUGACUCCAGAUGAUUUGUGCGCUUACCGUCUGUCACCCUCCUCAAGUGACCAGUGUGGCCAAGUCUCUGUACGGAUCCCUGGGGGACUGUGCCCUGGAAGGAGUCCAGUCCAGCAGCACCAACGGGCACGUUCAAACGCAGCUUGCGACAAGGCCCUUCCUCUGCUUAGGAGCGCCGUCCUCCGGGCUUGCCUCUGCAGAUGUCUUUUGCUCAACAGUGCCCAUCCUUGGCAGAACCUUUGGCUUCUGCUUCUCACCUAGGCGUCGAAAGAGAAGCUUUGAAUCUUAGAGAGCGAGACUAGAGAAGCUCUUCAGGAUACCUACAAUGUGACCACGUGCUGGCAGGAGUGGUUCAUCGAGGCUCUGCUCAUCUCAGUGACCCAUUCAUAUUACAGGACAAAGCCCCUUUCUCGCUGACAGAAUGGAGAACGUGCUGAUGAAGCAAAGGGGAGAAAUGGAUGGGCUACAAAG
Molecule: long non-coding RNA, 1005 nt
Organism: Columba livia (rock pigeon)
Lineage: Eukaryota; Metazoa; Chordata; Aves; Columbiformes; Columbidae
Exons: 3
Source: RefSeq, a predicted model, not a curated record